This 520-nucleotide ribosomal RNA is filed under the name Fusarium sporotrichioides. Its description in RNAcentral is "SSU rRNA". It matches the Rfam family "Eukaryotic small subunit ribosomal RNA", at positions 39 to 563 of the family's 1831-position model. Lineage: Eukaryota; Fungi; Ascomycota; Sordariomycetes; Hypocreales; Nectriaceae. The record is from RNAcentral.
AAAGAUUAAGCCAUGCAUGUCUAAGUAUAAGCAAUUAUACAGCGAAACUGCGAAUGGCUCAUUAUAUAAGUUAUCGUUUAUUUGAUAGUACCUUACUACUUGGAUAACCGUGGUAAUUCUAGAGCUAAUACAUGCUAAAAAUCCCGACUUCGGAAGGGAUGUAUUUAUUAGAUUAAAAACCAAUGCCCUCCGGGGCUCACUGGUGAUUCAUGAUAACUCCUCGAAUCGCAUGGCCUUGUGCCGGCGAUGGUUCAUUCAAAUUUCUUCCCUAUCAACUUUCGAUGUUUGGGUAUUGGCCAAACAUGGUUGCAACGGGUAACGGAGGGUUAGGGCUCGACCCCGGAGAAGGAGCCUGAGAAACGGCUACUACAUCCAAGGAAGGCAGCAGGCGCGCAAAUUACCCAAUCCCGACACGGGGAGGUAGUGACAAUAAAUACUGAUACAGGGCUCUUUUGGGUCUUGUAAUUGGAAUGAGUACAAUUUAAAUCCCUUAACGAGGAACAAUUGGAGGGCAAGUCUG